This 26-nucleotide non-coding RNA is filed under the name Homo sapiens (human). The record is from RNAcentral. Lineage: Eukaryota; Metazoa; Chordata; Mammalia; Primates; Hominidae.
UAAGGGACUGUAGCUGCUGGGUUAGC